This 400-nucleotide ribosomal RNA is filed under the name uncultured bacterium. Its description in RNAcentral is "bacterial SSU rRNA". It matches the Rfam family "Bacterial small subunit ribosomal RNA", at positions 359 to 776 of the family's 1533-position model. The record is from RNAcentral.
GAAUUUUGCACAAUGGGGGAAACCCUGAUGCAGCAACGCCGCGUGAGUGAUGAAGGCCCUAGGGUUGUAAAGCUCUUUCAGCAGGGAUGAUGAUGACGGUACCUGCAGAAGAAGCCCCGGCUAACUCCGUGCCAGCAGCCGCGGUAAUACGGAGGGGGCUAGCGUUGUUCGGAUUUACUGGGCGUAAAGCGCGCGUAGGCGGCUUGGAAAGUUGGGAGUGAAAGCCCGGGGCUCAACCCCGGAACUGCUCUCAAAACUUCCAAGCUAGAGAUCUGGAGAGGAGGGUGGAAUUCCAAGUGUAGAGGUGAAAUUCGUAGAUAUUUGGAAGAACACCAGUGGCGAAGGCGACUCUCUGGCCAGAUACUGACGCUGAGGUGCGAAAGCGUGGGGAGCAAACAGG